AUGAUCGCCGCCGCCAUGGACGACCGCCUCCACGCCCUGGGCCGUGGCGAGCGCCGCACCGCCGUCGCCAGGCUGUACAGCGAGGAGAUGCUCGGCCUGGCGCACGACGCCCAGGACUGCAUCGACCGCAUCGUCCACCGCCUCACCUGCAGGCCCCGCGUUGGCGGCGGCGGAGGCGGGGGAGGAGCGGCGCUGAUCCGCCGGGUCGCCGCCGUCGCCCACGAGCUGAGGAAGGUACAGAGCCGCUCGGGCUUCGCCGACGAGAUGCGCAAGCUCAAGGCCCGCCUCAAGCAGGCUCAUGAGCGCGUCGUCAGCAUCCCCAUCGCCGCCGCCGCCGCCAGCUGCUGCCACGAGCGCCCGGCGGUAGCCCCGACUUGUCGCGUCGCGCGCAACCCGGUGGGCAUCGGGAGGCCGGUGGAGGAGCUCCUCUCGCUGCUGGACGAGGUGGAGGGGGAGCCGGAGCAGCUGAGGGUGAUCUCCGUAGUGGGGUUCGGCGGCUUGGGGAAAACCACGCUCGCCAGGGAGGUGUACAAGGCCCGUCACGCCGUGGAGAAAUUCCACUGCCGUGCUUGGGUUUCCGCCGGUCGGUGGUCGCCAGAGGUCACCGGCAACGGGGUCAGUGAGAUCCUGCGCGAUGUACUCCAGCAAGUUCGCCCCAAAGACGCCAUGGAUGUUGUUGUUGCUGAUGAUGGCCAACGUAUUGAAGCCUUGCUCAAGGAAUACCUCACGGAUAAGAGGUAUUUAAUUGUCAUAGAUGACAUUGGGAUGGAGCAAUGGAGCACUAUAAAUUCCAUUUUUGAAAACAAUGGCAAAAGCAGCAGAAUCCUACUGACCACAACUAUUCAGUCAACAGCUAAUAUCUGCAGCCAUGGCAAUGGUUAUGUGUACCAAAUGAACACACUUGGUGAAGAGGACUCCAAGAAAAUAGCUCUUCAGGAGGUACCGUCGCCUGAGCUGGAGCAGGGGUCCAUGACGCUGCUGCAGAAAUGUGGUGGUCUUCCACUUGCUCUCGUCAGUGUCUCCGAUUUCCUGAAAUGCUCAGGUGAGCCUACAGGGGAGCGAUGCGCAGAGCUAUGCCGUAACCUGGGUUCUCAUCUGAGAGAGAAGCAUGGCCAUGACAAUUUCACGGAACUAAGAAAGGUGCUGAUGCAUAACUAUGACAGUUUGUCUGUGUAUGCUAUGACCUGCUUGCUAUAUCUUGGUGUAUUCCCAAACAACCGUCCCCUCAAGAGGAAAGUUGUUAUCAGGAGGUGGUUAGCCGAAGGAUAUGCACGGAGUGAUUCUCUUCGCAGUGAGGAGGACAUUGCGGAUGAGACUUUCAAGGCGCUUGUUGACCGGAAUAUCAUACAGUCCAUUGAUACAAGGAAUAAUGCGCAAGUGAAGACGUGCAUGACUCAUGGCAUCAUGCACGAGUUUGUGCUGCACAAGUCUGUGUCACAGGGGUUCAUCGCGACAUCGUCUCGUGAUCAUCCAAGACCUCAUGCCCAUGUUAAUAAUGCCUGCCACCUUUCUAUCCAUGGUGGCAAUGUGACAGAUAAUGAGGCCUCUGACAAGGAUUUGUCUCGUGUUCGGUCUCUGACAGUCUUUGGAAAAGCAGGUGAUGCUAUUUCUUAUGUCCGUAAGUGCAAACUGCUACGAGUCUUGGAUCUGGAAGAAUGCAAUGACCUGGAAGACAGUCACCUCAAACACAUAGGCAAGCUAUGGCAUCUGAAAUAUCUAAGUGUUGGGGGCACGAUUGCGAAGCUUCCGAGCAGUAUUGAUGGACUGCAUAGCUUGGAGACCCUAGAUUUGAGGAGAACCAAGAUAAAGACUUUGCCCAUUGAGGCCAUUAUGCUGUACCACUUAGCCCAUCUGUUCGGAAAGUUUACAGUUGACAAAGAAGAUCUAAACAAUGCAAACAAAAUGAGCAAAGCAAUGAAGUUCUUGUCCGGAAACAAGAGCAACCUGAAGACUUUAGCUGGAUUUGCCACAAACGAGAGGCAAGGGUUUCUUCAACUUAUGGUUCACAUGAGAAAUCUGAGAAAGGUCAAGAUAUGGUGUGGGCCAGUUGCAAAUGGAAGUAACUACACCAAUGAUCUUUCCAAGGCCAUUCAGGAAUUCACCAAGGUCCCCAUGGACAAUGUGGGUGCCCGUUCUCUAUCACUUGAUUCAGAAGAAUGUUCCGAAGACUUGCUGAGUUCGCUUGCUUUUGAGCCAUGCCCCGAAGAUUCCAAAUAUGAUGUAAGGUCACUGAAGCUACGUGGCAAGCUAUUCCAGUUACCCCCAUUUGUUCCCUUGCUGUCAGGUCUCACUGAACUGUGUAUUUCAUCAGCUACUCUGACACGGGAUCUUCUAUUGUCUCUGAUCAAUUUGAGAAACUUGCUUUACCUCAAGUUGAUUGCGAAUGAGCUUGAGAAAUUUGAAAUGAAAUCAGGGGCAUUCCCAAGCCUGCGGCGUCUGUGCUUUGUGGUGCAAAGUCUCACUUCAGCUCUGCCAGCAAUCGAACAUGGAGCUCUGCCAAACCUUGUCUCACUCCAGCUGCUUUGCCUGGGUCUAGCUGGUUUUUCCAGCAUCCAAAUCAGACACCUCAGACAUCUCAAGGAGGUCACGGUCGACUCUGGAGUGCCUGACCAAACAAGACAAGACUGGGAGCACGCAACAAAGAACCACCCGAAUAGGCCGAGACUCGUGUUGCACAAAAGUGGUGUUCGAAUGGAAAGCGAGGGACCGGGUAAUGAAGAAGCUUCUGCUGUGAGGGAGAAGCGGAAAAUAUGUGUACUCCAACCGAGUUUGGAUGACGGACUGGAUUCUAGUCUCAAGAAGAUGAAACUUUCAUCAGAGUCUUCUUCGCGUCUUCAAGUGAUCGUCCAUUCCACUUCCUCAUCUGGUCACUGA
RNAcentral lists this ribosomal RNA (2874 nucleotides) under Triticum aestivum (bread wheat). RNAcentral describes it as "partial small subunit ribosomal RNA". The record is from RNAcentral. Lineage: Eukaryota; Viridiplantae; Streptophyta; Magnoliopsida; Poales; Poaceae.